This 372-nucleotide ribosomal RNA is filed under the name uncultured organism. RNAcentral's name for it is "bacterial SSU rRNA". It matches the Rfam family "Bacterial small subunit ribosomal RNA", at positions 526 to 896 of the family's 1533-position model. The record is from RNAcentral.
CGUAGGGUGCGAGCGUUAAUCGGAAUUACUGGGCGUAAAGCGUGCGCAGGCGGUUUUGUAAGUCAGAUGUGAAAUCCCCGAGCUCAACUUGGGAACUGCGUUUGAAACUACAAGACUAGAAUAUGUCAGAGGGGGGUAGAAUUCCACGUGUAGCAGUGAAAUGCGUAGAGAUGUGGAGGAAUACCAAUGGCGAAGGCAGCCCCCUGGGAUAAUAUUGACGCUCAUGCACGAAAGCGUGGGGAGCAAACAGGAUUAGAUACCCUGGUAGUCCACGCCCUAAACGAUGUCUACUAGUUGUUGGUGGAGUAAAAUCCAUGAGUAACGCAGCUAACGCGUGAAGUAGACCGCCUGGGGAGUACGGCCGCAAGGUUG